Molecule: non-coding RNA, 73 nt
Organism: Pilaira anomala
Lineage: Eukaryota; Fungi; Mucoromycota; Mucoromycetes; Mucorales; Mucoraceae
Source: the annotation of a GenBank genome assembly
GGCGAUGUGGCCUAAUGGAUAAGGCGUUAGACUUCGAAUCUAAAGAUUGUGGGUUCGAGUCCCAUCCUCGUCA